This 895-nucleotide ribosomal RNA is filed under the name uncultured bacterium. RNAcentral's name for it is "bacterial SSU rRNA". It matches the Rfam family "Bacterial small subunit ribosomal RNA", at positions 55 to 924 of the family's 1533-position model. The record is from RNAcentral.
AUGCAAGUCGUACGAGAAAGUUGGCUUCGGCCGAUGAGUAAAGUGGCGCACGGGUGAGUAACGCGUGGAUAAUCUGCCCCUCAGUUGGGAAUAACUCAUCGAAAGGUGAGAUAAUACCGAAUAAUGCUGUGAUACCCCGGUUGAACAGUCAAAGGGAGCCUCUGCUUGCAAGCUUUCGCUGAAGGAUGAGUCCGCGUACCAUUAGCUGGUUGGUAGGGUAGUGGCCUACCAAGGCGACGAUGGUUAGCUGGUCUGAGAGGAUGAUCAGCCACACUGGAACUGAGACACGGUCCAGACUCCUACGGGAGGCAGCAGUGAGGAAUCUUGCGCAAUGGGGGAAACCCUGACGCAGCGACGCCGCGUGAGUGAGGAAGGUCUUCGGAUCGUAAAGCUCUGUCAGAUGGAAAGAAAUGCAUGAAGGUCAACAGCCUUCAUGCUUGACGGUACCAUCAGAGGAAGCACCGGCUAACUCCGUGCCAGCAGCCGCGGUAAUACGGGGGGUGCAAGCGUUGUUCGGAAUCAUUGGGCGUAAAGAGCGUGUAGGCGGCUUGAUCAGUCAGAUGUGAAAGCCCUGGGCUCAACCUGGGAAGUGCAUUUGAAACUGUCAUGCUUGAGUAGGGGAGAGGGAAGUGGAAUUCCUGGUGUAGAGGUGAAAUUCGUAGAUAUCAGGAGGAACACCGGUGGCGAAGGCGACUUCCUGGCCCUAUACUGACGCUGAGACGCGAGAGCGUGGGUAGCAAACAGGAUUAGAUACCCUGGUAGUCCACGCCGUAAACGAUGUUCACUAGGUGUUGGGGGUAUUGACCCCCUCAGUGCCGCAGCUAACGCAUUAAGUGAACCGCCUGGGGAGUACGGUCGCAAGACUAAAACUCAAAGGAAUUGACGGGGGGCCCGC